Hemicordylus capensis (graceful crag lizard) is the source of this 1807-nucleotide long non-coding RNA. RefSeq lists it as uncharacterized. The transcript has 5 exons. The record is from RefSeq and is a predicted model, not a curated record. Lineage: Eukaryota; Metazoa; Chordata; Lepidosauria; Squamata; Cordylidae.
AAAUACAUAUUUUGGGAUCAAAUCCUAAAAUAUGUGGGAUCCCUGUCAUAACAAUAGUAUAGCAAAAGGGCCUCAGGAUUACAGUGAAAAACAAGCUAAACAAGAGCCAGCAGUGUGAUGCAGUUGCAAAAAUGGUGAAUAUGAUUUUCGGCUGUAUUAAUAGAACUAUAGUCAUGAGAUUUUAUUGUUUCUCUUUAUUCCACACUAGUCUGACUUCAUCAGAAAUAUUAUGUCCAGUUUGGGGUGCCACAUUUUAAGAAGGAUGCAGACAAAUUAGAAUGAAUUCAGAGGAGGGCAAUGAAGAUGUUCAGGAGUAUGAAAAAUGAGCCCUACGAGAAAAGUUAUAGCGGCAGAUGCAUGCAGACAACACGACAGCAGACAACAUGACAGUGGUGAAACUGAGGAGAAUUCCCAGCUCCAAAUUCCAGUUUGCUCAAGGGUGACCCCUAGAGAAAGUGGUCUUCUGGUCUUCAAAUUCAGCAUCAUUAUACUUGAGUCAGUAAAACAGAAUACCUGAGAGGCCAUUUGGCUAGAGCUGAAGAUGAUUUCAGAUUAAUCAAUCUAGAAAUGCUAGAUGCUGCAUGUCACCUGUGUACACUAAGCCAGCUUCAACGUAUUAUUGAUGCACGUUUUGGAUGACUUCACACGACUGAAGCUAAGAGAUAAGUGACUGGCCCCAAAUCACUCAAUCUGGGAGAGUCCUGGAGCGUAUAAACUGUGAUUAGAAUCCCAGUUUUGGGAAGAGCAUUGACUGCCAAGCUCUGUUGAGAAGCAGAUGACUCACAACAAGCCGGAAAGAUCGUGGGCUGAUUCUUGAGCUGGGCAUAACGAUGCAUGUUUUAAGGACGAGAAAGGGAGCAGACAGAGGAAAUAAAGUACUGUUGUAUUCUAUACAGUAAUCUUUUGCAGUUUGUUUGUUUGGAUAUUUGUCCCAAGGGGAAUCUUGUAGAGAGUAUGGGGGAGCAGUCAGAAAGGAAAUGGAAGGAAAAGGAGAAGGAGAAAAUGGAGCUGAAUAAAUCUUUACUUUGUGAAUAAAUAUUUAGUUUUUGCUGGGCCCUAUCCAACCUCAGCACAGCAUCCCUCCAGUGGCUGUUGCUGGCAUCUAUCUUAUGUUUCUUUUUAGAUUGUGAGUCCUUUGGGUACAGGGAGCCAUAUUUAUCUGUUUGUUUGUUUUUCUCUGUGUAAACUGCUUUGGGGACUUUUUUUGAAAAGCAGUAUAUAAAUAUUCGUCAUAGUAGUAGCAAAAUCUACAUAAGAUUUCCAUGUGUGUCUGAGGGAAGCAGCUAUAAAACAUUUGGCAAUGAGAUUUUGAACCAGCUAAGUGUGUGAGCCUGCAAAUCUUGGGAAUGUUCCUGCAACCUCAUUUCAUUGCAUCACUGGAACGACGUUCCUGCACUGCUUUCUACUAUCGCUGAUAAUGAUUGUUUCUCCAGCUUCUUCACCUGCACAACUCCUGAAGGUACUUUUUCCUUAUCAAACCUGAACUCUGUUGUUCACUGGAUGCCCACUGCAGCAUGGUUCAGAUCCCACCACCACCUUUUUUCUUGUCCAUCCCAGGAGAACCUGCUCUUCCCUGGAAAUGAUGGAGGUCCUAUUUCUGCAGUUACCUCUUCACCAUACAGAGCCCUGAUUUUACUCCAGCAAAACAGAAGUAACCAUAUUGCUUCACUGCCUGAGCUCUGAAGGCCAGAUAAUUAUUUGCCCUUUCCUGUGAACUUGGGAUGACAGUUCUUAUGAAGCUGUUCUUCAAGCCUUAGAUGAUCAUUUCAACUCUACUUUGAAUGUGAUUGCUGAAUGUUACAAGUUC